AUCUAUGGCCACACCACCCUGAACACGCCCAAUCUCAUCUGAUCUCGGAAGCUAAGCAGGGUCGGGCCUGGCUAGUACGUGGAUGGGAGAUUUCUCCUGUUAGUCCUAUUUUAUCCUUGAGA
Molecule: ribosomal RNA, 122 nt
Filed under: Microcebus murinus (gray mouse lemur)
Lineage: Eukaryota; Metazoa; Chordata; Mammalia; Primates; Cheirogaleidae
Source: RNAcentral